AUGCUGUUGCUGUGCUCAAACUUGCUCUUACGGGAUUGUAUUUUUGCUAGCAAGUGUUGGACCGCUGCACCAGUGAGCGCAGGGCUGCGCAGGUGUCCCCCGAGCUGUACGCAGGAGCUGCUAGCUGAAUUACCGUCUGAUCUCGCUUCAAACCCCAUCCUGAUUGAGCAAGUUGAUCUAUUCUGUUUUCUGCCUGUCCACCCUGAUCCUUCCUUGGAAAUUGUCUUUGAGUGCCUCGCUGAAGAAGAGAGAUGUUAAUACUCUAAAUAACUGUGUGAUGGUCUGACUUUGUGGUUUAUAAGGGAAAAGAAGUUCUCGUUGAUUAUUUUUGUAAGUACUUGUUUGAUGGAUCACUCAGGUUCAAAGGUCUUUCCAGUGUUUGAGUAUUUUACUUCCAAGGAUUAUCUGGAAGCAUGUGUUUAUCUGCGUUUCUUUUUCCCUGCUUAUGUGGCUUCUUGCUUCAGAAGGAGAUGGAGCUGCUAAGAAAUCCGUGUGUUGAUGCAGUUAGCAACAACCUUCCACCAUUCCCACCUCUGAGGCUGGGGGAGAGGGAAAAAACUUGUCAUGCUUUUGAUACCUCAAAAAAGAAAGAAAAAAAAAUGAAGUGCUUCCUCUCUGGGACUUGUAUCCGCAAGGAACGUCUCAGACUGGACCACGCUGUGUGACUUCAGAUAUCUUCUUUCUGCACGUGGCUUAGUUCUCCUUUGCAGAGGCAGCUCACCCUGUAAGGGAGCCACGUCUUUCAAGCUGAAUCUCUGUAAGCAUGGCCUGCAUUAAGCUGCUUCGAAAGGAGAGACGUUACCAGUUACAUUUAAAGUAUUAGAGUGGAAAAGAACGCAGGGAACCCAUGGCACAUCUUCCAGGCCUAAGUUCAUGCCUUUUCCUGUCCAGGGCAGUGUGUGAGGACAGCUGUGUGGUCGGUAUGAGCACCUAGCCUUCAUAAAACCUGUUUGACCUAGAAUAUGCUGUUGAACUAUUUUCUCCGGGGAAAAGCGACAGGAACGCUUGUGAACGUGUGUUAGAAACCUGUAGAGAAACUCCAAGCGUGGAUGCAAAUAAACUCUCUGAAUUCGCCGUUGAAUGUGUCUCG
Molecule: long non-coding RNA, 1090 nt
Filed under: Apteryx owenii (little spotted kiwi)
Lineage: Eukaryota; Metazoa; Chordata; Aves; Apterygiformes; Apterygidae
Description: lncRNA (ENSAOWG00000011799.1)
Source: RNAcentral